Molecule: ribosomal RNA, 288 nt
Filed under: uncultured bacterium
Lineage: Bacteria
Description: partial 16S ribosomal RNA
Rfam family: Bacterial small subunit ribosomal RNA
Source: RNAcentral
GUGGAUUAGAUACCCUGGUAGUCCACGCCGUAAACGAUGAUAACUAGCUGUCGGGGCACUUGGUGCUUCGGUGGCGCAGCUAACGCAUUAAGUUAUCCGCCUGGGGAGUACGGCCGCAAGGUUAAAACUCAAAGGAAUUGACGGGGGCCUGCACAAGCGGUGGAGCAUGUGGUUUAAUUCGAAGCAACGCGCAGAACCUUACCAGCGUUUGACAUGGUAGGACGACUUCCAGAGAUGGAUUUCUCCCUUCGGGGCCUACACACAGGUGCUGCACGGUUGUCGCCAACU